CACCUGCCUUGCAAGCAGGCAGUCGUGAGUUCGAUCCCUGGUACCGAUAAAAAAACGAAAAAGACAAAAAAAAAAAAAAAAAAAAAAAAAAAAGAAAUGUGGUUACACAAGGGCCAGGUGAGAUCAGGAGGAGACAAAAUGUGACAGGGGCCCUGUGCAGUGGUUUUUCUGUGACACCAAUUACACGUCAUUUCCUCUCAUGCCAACCAAUUCUGUGAUACCAGCUGACUGUCCCAUAAUUUGUGGUGACUCAGAAAAAACAACAUCCGAAGUACAGCACUGCAGGCUUCAAAAGCAGGCCCCACAAAGCAGCGUCCCUCUCUGACCUCCUCCUGUCUUCCUGGCUCUUGCUCUCCUUUCUUCUCCUAGUAGGUGAUAGGAUUAUUUCCAAAAGAUGAAAAGUAUUUCCAAAAGAUGAGAAGUAUAAAACAAAAAGAGGCCUUUAUUCUGAGAACACGGAGAUGACCGGCACCCUUCACCGCUGGAGUCCGGCGAUCUCUCUAGCGGACACGUGGUGUGGGGUUAUGGUCUUACUAUGUACUGUUUGGCCUUGAACUCGCUAUGUAGCCCAGGCUGGCCUUGCACUCACAGCCAUCCUCCUUCCGGAGCCUCCUGAGUACUGGAACUAAAGGCAUACGCCAACCUGCCUGCCACCUUCCUCCACCUUUAAUUAUAAUCACUGCAACAGAAAAUCAUGUACCAGAUUGCCAUUAAACAUAUUUAAG
This is a long non-coding RNA of Cavia porcellus (domestic guinea pig), 725 nucleotides long. RefSeq lists it as uncharacterized. The record is from RefSeq and is a predicted model, not a curated record. The transcript has 3 exons. NCBI's taxonomy places the organism in Eukaryota, Metazoa, Chordata, Mammalia, Rodentia, Caviidae.